RNAcentral lists this long non-coding RNA (609 nucleotides) under Homo sapiens (human). Its description in RNAcentral is "HSALNT0352114". The record is from RNAcentral. Lineage: Eukaryota; Metazoa; Chordata; Mammalia; Primates; Hominidae.
UUGCUCCAGUCCCCGCCCCAUCCUAGGCUCAGGAUGCUCUCCCACCCUACUAACCACCGGUCCGGUCAAAGCCCAAGCUGCUGCCAGCCGCCAUGUUAUCUCCUAGCCUGGCUAGGGUGCCUGCUAGCCAGCAGUGGCUAUGGUGGUGUGCAGAGUGAGGACCAAAUGGGUCACCGGCUACUGAAAAAGAAUCCAGACCUCUGAAAGGGUUCGUGACAAAUUUUUUAGAAGUUCUCACGCUCAUCUGUUACGAUGAUUUUCUUUUCUUUUUUCUCUUUUAAAAAAGUUGGCUAAUUUGUGUUUCUAUAUUCCUCUUUAAUUUUAUUUUUAUUGGGGGUACAAAUGUUUUUAAAGGAGGGAUUUCGUUAGACCCGAAACUGUGGGGUGGCUUCCUCUCUAGCCAACUUACUAUCUCUACGCCUGUGAUUCCCAUCUCCCCCAAGAAAACAAACCAAUUAAAUGACCAGAAAACUGUACCUGGAGAAAAUGAGGUAUAUGUUGCAGGAUCCGGGACCGCGGUCUUUGCUUGCUUCGUGAAAAAUCGGCUGGUCUCCAAACUCGCGAAGGAAAAUUCAAGGCGCCUCAACUCCUCCUUUUAAAUUUUUUAAU